Molecule: ribosomal RNA, 517 nt
Filed under: uncultured bacterium
Lineage: Bacteria
Description: bacterial SSU rRNA
Rfam family: Bacterial small subunit ribosomal RNA
Source: RNAcentral
AAGCAUGGCAAGUCGAACGGGAUUGAGGCCCUUCGGGGCUUCAUGAGAGUGGCGAACGGGUGAGUAACACGUAGGUGAUCUACCCUCGGGUGGGGAAUAGCCCAUGGAAACAUGGGAUAAUACCGCAUGAGGUCUUUGGGCGUGAAGCCCAUGGAUGAAAGGAGCAAUUGUUCCGCCUGGGGAUGAGCCUGCGGUCCAUUAGCUAGUUGGUGUGGUAAGGGCGCACCAAGGUGACGAUGGAUAGCCGGCCUGAGAGGGUGAACGGUCACACUGGGACUGAGACACGGCCCAGACUCCUACGGGAGGCAGCAGCUAAGAAUCUUCCGCAAUGGGGGAAACCCUGACGGAGCGACGCCGCGUGGGCGAAGAAGGCCGCAAGGUUGUAAAGCCCUUUUCUUGACGAAGAAUAAGGUCAGGAGUGGAACGCCUGGCCGAUGACGUUAGUCGAGGAAGAAGCCCCGGCCAAUUACGUGCCAGCAGCCGCGGUAACACGUAUGGGGCAAGCGUUGUUCGGAAU